ACGAAUAUAAUUCGAGGGGUUGUCGCUGGUCUCGCUCGCGAGGCAUGUGCACGCUUCUUGUUUUUCUCUCAACUCACCCGUGCACCUAAUGUAGGAUGCCUCUCCUCCGGGAGGGGGGACCUAUGUCUUCGUAUACAUCUUCGUGUAGAAAGUCUUUGAAUGUUUACUAUCAUCGAGUCGCGACUUCUAGGAGACGCGAUUCUUUGAGAUAAAAGUUAUUA
RNAcentral lists this unclassified non-coding RNA (221 nucleotides) under uncultured Rhizopogon. RNAcentral describes it as "sequence contains ITS1". Lineage: Eukaryota; Fungi; Basidiomycota; Agaricomycetes; Boletales; Rhizopogonaceae. The record is from RNAcentral.